CAUUACAGAAAGAGAGAUGGCUGGGCGAACAGGAUCGCUUUCAAGGACUCUUCUCUCCACCGCAAGAUCUUCGUCGUUCCGCUCCGCCCCACCACUUCCCCGCCUCCGCCCUCCUCCUCCCCUCGCCGCCCCUCGGCCCCCACGUAUCCGUCUCUCCUUCGUCAAUCCCAGGUCUCUUGGGGAGCUUGGGUGCACGCAGUCGCUCCUUCCACUUCACAGCGUCGUGGCCGCAGCACGCCUCACAUCGCACCUGUCGGUCGAUUCGCGCGCUUGUUGCGAGCUGUCUCAGGGUACCCUCCCCCGCACUUGUCAAGAUCGCUAGUAUUCUCUUUGGAGGAAUGGAAAAGAUCGGUGAUGUGAGAGAGAGGGCUGGCAUCAUUUGGACGCCGGAGAGAAUGGUGUUGCGGCUUCAAGCAUUGUACUUGAACAGCAGUCAGGAUGAUGCAGCAGUGGUUGCUUUAAUGCCAGUGUCAGUUACAAUAGUACUCCAUCGGAAGAGGAGGGAGGAAUCGUGGCAUGAUUCAACCAUUCAGUGCUGGUUUCAUGAUGACAUAGACUUUGUCACGAAUAAUUGAAAGCUAUGGUAACAUUUUGAGGCCGGCAAGUUAUUAGGAAAACGGUAGCAUGUUCUCUUUGUUUUGCAAUGGUUAGGAGAGGUCUUGUUGUUCUCUUUGUUUUGCAAUGGUUAGGAGGUCUUGUUUAUCAGAGAUUCUAUGUUCCAUGAUGUUUUGGGAAUCAAACCACUUUCGUUUUCUUUUCAAAAA
Molecule: RNA transcript, 764 nt
Organism: Magnolia sinica
Lineage: Eukaryota; Viridiplantae; Streptophyta; Magnoliopsida; Magnoliales; Magnoliaceae
Gene name: protein NONRESPONDING TO OXYLIPINS 2, mitochondrial-like
Exons: 6
Source: RefSeq, a predicted model, not a curated record